This 253-nucleotide ribosomal RNA is filed under the name uncultured bacterium. RNAcentral describes it as "partial 16S ribosomal RNA". It matches the Rfam family "Bacterial small subunit ribosomal RNA", at positions 524 to 776 of the family's 1533-position model. The record is from RNAcentral.
UACGUAGGGGGCAAGCGUUGUCCGGAUUUAUUGGGCGUAAAGAGCGUGUAGGCGGCCAUGUAGGUCCGUUGUGAAAACUCGAGGCUCAACCUCGAGACGCCGAUGGAAACCAUGUGGCUAGAGUCCGGAAGAGGAGAGUGGAAUUCCUGGUGUAGCGGUGAAAUGCGCAGAUAUCAGGAAGAACACCCGUGGCUAAGGCGGCUCUCUAGGCAUUACCUGACGCUGAGGAGCGAAAGCAUGGGGAGCGAACAGG